CAAGUACUCCCUCCGUCCGGAAUUACUUGUCAUCAAAAUGGAUGUGUCUAGAACUAAAAGACAUCUAGAUACAUCCAUUUCAAUGACAAGUAUUUUCAGAUGGAGGGAGUACAAG
This is a non-coding RNA of Triticum aestivum (bread wheat), 115 nucleotides long. Lineage: Eukaryota; Viridiplantae; Streptophyta; Magnoliopsida; Poales; Poaceae. The record is from Rfam.